AUGCUGCAGCACCUCGAUCUGAAGGACGAGGAGCUGGAUGACAUGGUCGUAGGCGAGGAUGAGUUGAGGAAAUUUGAGGCAGAGGCACGUUGGAUGGCAGUCGGAAAGCUGAAUACGACCCACCGUUUUAGUUCCACUACAAUGUUUGAGACUCUGAAAUCGAUCUGGGGGCCAGCACAUGUGCCGAAGUUCAGAGAGGCCGGCGAUAAGCCAUUCGUGUUCCAGAUGUUCUGCUUGGGAGAUUGGAAGAAGGUCGUUCAUGGUGGCACAUGUCUGUCCAAGGGGAUGGGCCUCCUGAUCGAGAACUACGAUGGCAAGACAGACCCGGAAUCGGUGGUCUUUGAUGGUCUGUACGUUUUGGCUCAAAUACACAACAUCCCUGAUCUAUACCGCAAAACAGAAAUUGUGGAUCAACUUGCUCGCCGUAUUGGCAGAGUAAAGGAGGUCUUACUCUCUCCAAAGCUUUACUAUGAGGGUGACUAUGUCAGAGUUCGUGCAAGGGUGCUGGUUAAUAAGCCCCUUACCAGAGUGAUGCCAUUGAAUGUCACGGGAGAGGGGCGUCGUUCCUCCCAGUCAAAUAUGAGAAGAUCCCUUACUUUUGCCAGGCAGUUUGGAAGCUGGAUACUGGCCCAGCGCAAGGAAUCACCCCUAAACAACAGUAGUUUGGUCAUUCUGCUCGAGGGGGCUGGUCCCGGGGCCGAGGUAGAGCUGUUCGUGGCAGAGUUCCACCAAGGGAACAGGAAGCCCCACGCAAGAGGUCAUCACAGGAUGCUGGCUUUAAUGAGGGAGAGGAUAUUGAUGCAGAUGUGA
RNAcentral lists this ribosomal RNA (810 nucleotides) under Triticum aestivum (bread wheat). RNAcentral describes it as "partial small subunit ribosomal RNA". The record is from RNAcentral. Lineage: Eukaryota; Viridiplantae; Streptophyta; Magnoliopsida; Poales; Poaceae.